This 391-nucleotide long non-coding RNA is filed under the name Ananas comosus (pineapple). Its description in RNAcentral is "long non-coding RNA (ACOM_LNC012276)". Lineage: Eukaryota; Viridiplantae; Streptophyta; Magnoliopsida; Poales; Bromeliaceae. The record is from RNAcentral.
AGAGAGAGAGGGAGGGUUUAGAGUUGAAAGGGUGAGGGAGAAGAGAGAAAAACCCCAAAUCCCCAUUCUAUACACUCUUCUCAUGCCAAAAUUGCAUAUAAACCCCUCAACUUUACCUCUCUUGCAACAGCCCGAACUGGGCAUUUUCGGGCUUUGAGGACCGGUCCUUGCGAUGAGGGACCGGUCCCUGAGAGACCGGUCCUUGGCUGAGAGACCGGUCCCCGAAGGUCCAGAAAUCAGCCUUCAAGGACUUAGCCAAAUUUUCAGCAUUUUCACCAAUUUUCGUCCGUUUUCGCUCGUUUUCGCUCGUUUGACCUCCGAUUCUUUUCAAAUCGAACCGAGACCCACCAAACAUGUUUUCGAACAUAUUUUCAUCAUCUUUUUAUCCACG